RNAcentral lists this ribosomal RNA (463 nucleotides) under uncultured bacterium. Its description in RNAcentral is "bacterial SSU rRNA". It matches the Rfam family "Bacterial small subunit ribosomal RNA", at positions 49 to 507 of the family's 1533-position model. The record is from RNAcentral.
UUACACAUGCAAGUCGAACGGCAGCACGGGAGCAAUCCUGGUGGCGAGUGGCGAACGGGUGAGUAAUAUAUCGGAACGUGCCCAGUCGUGGGGGAUAACGUAGCGAAAGCUACGCUAAUACCGCAUACGAUCUAUGGAUGAAAGCGGGGGAUCGCAAGACCUCGCGCGAUUGGAGCGGCCGAUAUCAGAUUAGGUAGUUGGUGAGGUAAAGGCUCACCAAGCCGACGAUCUGUAGCUGGUCUGAGAGGACGACCAGCCACACUGGGACUGAGACACGGCCCAGACUCCUACGGGAGGCAGCAGUGGGGAAUUUUGGACAAUGGGCGCAAGCCUGAUCCAGCAAUGCCGCGUGCAGGAUGAAGGCCUUCGGGUUGUAAACUGCUUUUGUACGGAACGAAACGGUGAGCUCUAAUACAGUUUGCUAAUGACGGUACCGUAAGAAUAAGCACCGGCUAACUACGUG